GACGAACGCUGGCGGCGUGCUUAACACAUGCAAGUCGAGCGAUGAAGCACCUUCGGGUGCGGAUUAGCGGCGAACGGGUGAGGAACACGUGAGGAAUCUGCCUUUCACUUCGGGAUAACUCCGGGAAACCGGGGCUAAUACCGGAUAUUUUCAACUGGCGGCAUCGCCGGUUGAAGAAAGUUUUUCGGUGAAAGAUGACCUCGCGGCCUAUCAGCUUGUUGGUGAGGUAAUGGCUCACCAAGGCGACGACGGGUAGCCGGCCUGAGAGGGCGACCGGCCACACUGGGACUGAGACACGGCCCAGACUCCUACGGGAGGCAGCAGUGGGGAAUAUUGGGCAAUGGAGGAAACUCUGACCCAGCGACGCCGCGUGAGGGAUGAAGGCCUUCGGGUUGUAAACCUCUUUCAGCAGAGAAUAAGCGAAAGUGAAGGUACCUGCAGAAGAAGCACCGGCUAACUAUGUGCCAGCAGCCGCAGUAA
This 480-nucleotide ribosomal RNA is filed under the name uncultured bacterium. RNAcentral's name for it is "partial 16S ribosomal RNA". It matches the Rfam family "Bacterial small subunit ribosomal RNA", at positions 28 to 523 of the family's 1533-position model. The record is from RNAcentral.